CGUGGGUAACCUGCCCAAGAGAUCGGGAUAACACCUGGAAACAGAUGCUAAUACCGGAUAAUAACAGAUGAUGCCUAUCAACUGUUUAAAAGAUGGUUCUGCUAUCACUCUUGGAUGGACCUGCGGUGCAUUAGCUAGUUGGUAGGGUAACGGCCUACCAAGGCGAUGAUGCAUAGCCGAGUUGAGAGACUGAUCGGUCACAUUGGGACUGAGACACGGCCCAAACUCCUACGGGAGGCAGCAGUC
This 246-nucleotide ribosomal RNA is filed under the name uncultured Lactobacillus sp. RNAcentral's name for it is "partial 16S ribosomal RNA". It matches the Rfam family "Bacterial small subunit ribosomal RNA", at positions 116 to 355 of the family's 1533-position model. The record is from RNAcentral. Lineage: Bacteria; Bacillati; Bacillota; Bacilli; Lactobacillales; Lactobacillaceae.